This 253-nucleotide ribosomal RNA is filed under the name uncultured bacterium. Its description in RNAcentral is "partial 16S ribosomal RNA". It matches the Rfam family "Bacterial small subunit ribosomal RNA", at positions 524 to 776 of the family's 1533-position model. The record is from RNAcentral.
UACAGAGGGUGCAAACGUUGUUCGGAUUUACUGGGCGUAAAGCGCGUGUAGGCGGCUUUGCAAGUCGGAUGUGAAAGCCCACGGCUCAACCGUGGAAGUGCAUCCGAAACUGCAUGGCUGGAGUCUCGGAGAGGAAGGUGGAAUGCAUGGUGUAGAGGUGAAAUUCGUAGAUAUCAAGCAGAACACCUGCGGCGAAGGCGGCCUUCUGGACGAUGACUGACGCUGAGACGCGAAAGCGUGGGGAGCAAACAGG